RNAcentral lists this ribosomal RNA (632 nucleotides) under uncultured fungus. RNAcentral describes it as "eukaryotic LSU rRNA". The stretch from base 214 to 363 matches the Rfam family "5.8S ribosomal RNA". The record is from RNAcentral. Lineage: Eukaryota; Fungi.
CUUGGUCAUUUAGAGGAAGUAAAAGUCGUAACAAGGUUUCCGUAGGUGAACCUGCGGAAGGAUCAUUAACAAAUUGUGUGUGCGCGGGGUGUGGUGUGUGUGCGCUUUAUACGCGCCGCAUACUAUCCCGUGUGACAUUAACCCGGAGCCAUUCGGCUCCGAUAUUCACGCUUGUUUGUAUGACAGAGUUAUCACGUGACAUGAAAUAUAUACAACUUUUAACAAUGGAUCUCUUGGCUCUUGCAACGAUGAAGAACGCAGUGAAAUGUGAAAAGUAAUGCGAUUUGCAUGAAUCUGUGAGUCAUCUAAUCUUUGAACGCACCUUGCACCCUCUCAUGGGAGGGUAUACGUGUUUGAGAAUCGUAACAGUAUCUUGUCUCUAGUCCUCAGAGGCAGACUUGAGCGCCCAGAGCGCUUUAAAUGCAGUAGUGUAUCUCUGCGCGACUCGCGCUUGGUGGACACUGUGUGCUGGAGACCUUGGUGUCUACUCACGGUGCGUCCCCUUGCGUAUGCGCAGAAGCAAGUGCACUCGUAAACGUGUGUGCGCAUAAUAAUAAAAGCGUGUACACAGCAACUGAUCUCAAAUCACGUAAGACUACCCGCCGAACUUAAGCAUAUCAAUAAGCGGAGGA